RNAcentral lists this small RNA (186 nucleotides) under Staphylococcus aureus. RNAcentral describes it as "5'UTR". The record is from RNAcentral. Lineage: Bacteria; Bacillati; Bacillota; Bacilli; Caryophanales; Staphylococcaceae.
ACAAAAUAAGCAUAAUGGAUUUUUCGGUGUACAAAUUAAUGCCCCUAAUUCCAUCAUAGCUUGAUUAAACGUUCCAGCUUCUGUAGUAACAUACGGUAACAAUUCUUGUUCGUACGAUUUCCUCGUCGAUUGUAAUUUAAUAUCUCGAUAGUCAUCAUUCAAUCUAGACCAUACUCGAAAAACAUU